Molecule: ribosomal RNA, 793 nt
Filed under: uncultured bacterium
Lineage: Bacteria
Description: bacterial SSU rRNA
Rfam family: Bacterial small subunit ribosomal RNA
Source: RNAcentral
AGAGUUUGAUCCUGGCUCAGGAUGAACGCUGGCGGCGUGCCUAACACAUGCAAGUCGAACGGACUUACAUUGAAGCCUAGCGAUAUGUAAGUUAGUGGCGGACGGGUGAGUAACGCGUGGGUAACCUGCCUUGUACUGGGGGACAACAGUUGGAAACGACUGCUAAUACCGCAUAAGCGCACAGCUUCGCAUGAAGCAGUGUGAAAAACUCCGGUGGUACAAGAUGGACCCGCGUCUGAUUAGCUGGUUGGUGAGGUAACGGCCCACCAAGGCAACGAUCAGUAGCCGGCCUGAGAGGGUGAACGGCCACAUUGGGACUGAGACACGGCCCAAACUCCUACGGGAGGCAGCAGUGGGGAAUAUUGCACAAUGGGGGAAACCCUGAUGCAGCAACGCCGCGUGAGUGAAGAAGUAUUUCGGUAUGUAAAGCUCUAUCAGCAGGAAAGAAAAUGACGGUACCUGACUAAGAAGCCCCGGCUAACUACGUGCCAGCAGCCGCGGUAAUUCGUAGGGGGCAAGCGUUAUCCGGAUUUACUGGGUGUAAAGGGAGCGUAGACGGUUUUGCAAGUCUGAAGUGAAAGCCCGGGGCUUAACCCAUAAACUGCAUUUGAAACUGUAGAGCUUGAGUGAAGUAGAGGCAGGCGGAAUUCCCCGUGUAGCGGUGAAAUGCGUAGAGAUGGGGAGGAACACCAGUGGCGAAGGCGGCCUGCUGGGCUUUAACUGACGCUGAGGCACGAAAGCGUGGGUAGCAAACAGGAUUAGAUACCCUGGUAGUCCACGCUGUAAACGAUGA